GGAAGGGUGGCCCAGUGGUUAGGCUGCUUGCCUGGGAUGCAAGAGACCUAGAUUCAAUUCUCUGCUCAGCCA
Molecule: transfer RNA, 72 nt
Filed under: Pelodiscus sinensis (Chinese soft-shelled turtle)
Lineage: Eukaryota; Metazoa; Chordata; Testudines; Trionychidae
Rfam family: tRNA
About the family: Transfer RNA (tRNA) molecules are approximately 80 nucleotides in length. Their secondary structure includes four short double-helical elements and three loops (D, anti-codon, and T loops). Further hydrogen bonds mediate the characteristic L-shaped molecular structure. tRNAs have two regions of fundamental functional importance: the anti-codon, which is responsible for specific mRNA codon recognition, and the 3' end, to which the tRNAs corresponding amino acid is attached (by aminoacyl-tRNA synthetases). tRNAs cope with the degeneracy of the genetic code in two manners: having more than one tRNA (with a specific anti-codon) for a particular amino acid; and 'wobble' base-pairing, i.e. permitting non-standard base-pairing at the 3rd anti-codon position.
Source: Rfam by way of RNAcentral